Molecule: long non-coding RNA, 393 nt
Filed under: Ananas comosus (pineapple)
Lineage: Eukaryota; Viridiplantae; Streptophyta; Magnoliopsida; Poales; Bromeliaceae
Description: long non-coding RNA (ACOM_LNC018754)
Source: RNAcentral
UGGCAUGUGCUUUGGUGCCGAAAUUUGUUAGAUAUAAAAACAUACAAAUACUGUUCUCUAACAACUUAAAUUUUUUAUGAUAAUCAGGCCGCACUGCAUAUCGCCGAGAAUUCCGUCUUUCAGGAGCGAACGAAACACAUUGAACUCGAUUGUCAUUUCAUACAAGAUCAUCUAAAAUUUGGCCCCGAUACCAUAUUAAAUAUAAAAAUAUAUAAACACCGUUUUUCAAUAGCUCAAAUUUUUAGAAUAUAAUGAUUAUUUUAUAUGGUAUCAGAAUAGAAGGUUCUGAAUUUGAAUCACGCAAGAAAGUCACGUCAAGCUUCUAGAAUUAUUUAAAUUUUAGAGCACAAUAAUUAUUUUAUAAAAUUAUAAAAUAUAAAAAUAGAUGAGUUU